Calidris pugnax (ruff) is the source of this 2033-nucleotide long non-coding RNA. RefSeq lists it as uncharacterized. The transcript is spliced from 4 exons. The record is from RefSeq and is a predicted model, not a curated record. NCBI's taxonomy places the organism in Eukaryota, Metazoa, Chordata, Aves, Charadriiformes, Scolopacidae.
GCAGAGCUGCACCCUAAUUAGAGUGACAAGAGUGGUUUGUUUCCAGGAUUUCUGCAUGAGAAAGGAGACUUGCUUGAUGAAAUGAUAAGAAAAAUGGAAGCUUUGGCUCAAGGUGGUCUGAAUCCAGCUAAGAUCACUGCGACGGAGGAGCUGCCACUGAUUACCUUCUCUACUGCCAGGCCACCCAGUAAGGGCCUUUGGUGGAACCAGAAACACUCCUUGGCUAUGAGGGCUUUGAGCAGGAGCCCUCUGGAGGGGUCAGGAAGGAAAUUUACUCAGAGAAGCAGCCUCCUGGAUUAUAUAUUCCUUUCUAGAUGCCAAGGAGACAUCGGCCUUUGAGGGAUAUACAAACAAUUAGAUUUCCCCUAUAGCUGCUGUAGAUACCCGCUGCCUUCGGGGUGAUACCUUCAGGCCCAGGGGACGCCUGCUGCUCCUGUCCAUCUGUGAGUCUGUUGCAGUUUAGUCACAGAUUUCAACCAGACCAGGAACCUGGGUUCGGAGAGCGGGAUGGCAAAGGAUGGAGGAAUGCAGCUUUAAAGACCAGGUGGAAAGUGCACCGUUAUUUCCCAAGUGUGGUAAAGUGAAAUUGAAGUUGCUCCAGGCCCAGGAUCAGAGAUGCAGGUCAAUUUAUCAUUUAUUUUGUGAUGUUCAUAAAGCUGUUCAGCAUUUGAAUAGUGUUAUCAUUAAAUUGCAGCUGAUAUUAUUCUUCUCAUUUUUCUACCAUGUCAGUGUUACAGAGAAAAAAGCCAAAACCACCCACUUAGAAAAAUUGUACCUUGAAGGUAGAAGAAAAUCUUCUCCUCCUUGCAUCUCUUUCACCCGAGAAAUAAAACCCAUGCAACUGAAUUAUUUUCAGGCAUCUGUAUCAAGCUUUCACCCUCUUGCUUGUGUUGGAUUUGAAUCUCUUAAGUCUUUUUUCCUGACAGUAAGCCCAAGUUUUUGAUUUCUGAAAUUCAACCAUGUUGUUCCAAUUUGUGCCUUUUGCACAGCCCUCACCCAUUCUUCCCAGUUGGUUGCAGUCCCUUGAAGUGUCUUCCAGAGCUGUAUUUCUCAUUAGCCAUUGUUUAGUGUAACUGUGUGGUGUGUGUGUGUGUGUGUGUGUUCACUCCACUUUCAUUUCAGAAGGAUUCAUUCCCCCAGAGGUUCUAUCCGUGUUUUGGUUUUGCCGGGUUUCUUUUCUAAAACAGCCUUUCAUCUUUAAUGCCAGACUGAAGGGAGGAAACCUCAGAUCCCAACAUGAAUGGUGGGAAAGGACUUCAGUCAUUCAGGGGACACGUUUGGGAGACAGGCGGGCAGGCUUCCUUAGGGGAGAGGAAAGGGUGAAGGACUGUGCAACUGAAACUGUGUGGGGACUAACAGUUCUAGGAACCCUUCUUGUGGGUGACCCCUAUAACUGGUCUGAGUUUCCCUGACCAAGGCUGGUGUAGACAAACUGCAAGAAGCCUGGAAGAUUGCAUAAGGCGUCUGUUCCCCUCAUUUUUAUACCUGUAAAAAGCAAGCCUUUUGCCAUGAAUCAAAGAGGAUGAAAUUUGAAGUGAUGUGACAACAAAGGACGGCCGGUGCUUGUACUAUUUUACAGUCUUCAAUCUAAAAAUUAGAGUAUGAUCUGUUGCUGAUAAUUUUGUUGUUGUUGUUGUUGAUUAUGAGAUGAUUAUAUUUAGUAUGUUUUCUUCAGGCUGGGAGGGGCAGUGAUUGGGUGCUUUGUUUUUGAAAUAAAAGAUCCCAAGUCUUGUUACGUGCUUUAAUUAGCACCUUCAGCACUUGUUUCCACCUUACACAGGAACUGAUGAAACCUGUUGAACUUAAUGUCAAUCUUCUUGUUGACUUCAAUAGACAGCAGAACAGAUCCAAGACCUGUGCUGAGCUGGCUUCCAUACGUUUUAACAAACACAAUUCUACCGCCUCUCUCAAGGCUUUCACAGAAUCACAGAAUGAUACGGGGUUGGAAGGAACCUCUGGAGAUCAUCUAGUCCAACCCCCCUGCCAAAGCAGGUCCUCCUAGAGCAGGUUGCACAGGAACGUGUCCAGGUGGG